CUUCGCGUAGCUCACUACUCAGUUGGUAGAGCGACCGUGAUCGAAUCGGGAGGUCAUGGGUUCGAGUCCCGUCGCGGAUA
Non-coding RNA from Cymbomonas tetramitiformis, 80 nucleotides. The record is from the annotation of a GenBank genome assembly. NCBI's taxonomy places the organism in Eukaryota, Viridiplantae, Chlorophyta, Pyramimonadophyceae, Pyramimonadales, Pyramimonadaceae.